RNAcentral lists this ribosomal RNA (744 nucleotides) under uncultured bacterium. RNAcentral's name for it is "bacterial SSU rRNA". It matches the Rfam family "Bacterial small subunit ribosomal RNA", at positions 8 to 796 of the family's 1533-position model. The record is from RNAcentral.
AGAGUUUGAUCAUGGCUCAGAACGAACGCUGGCGGCAUGCCUAACACAUGCAAGUCGAACGCGUGACUUCGGUCACGAGUGGCGCACGGGUGAGUAACGCGUGGGAACCUGCCCCGAGGUGGGGGAUAACCGAUGGAAACGUCGGCUAAUACCGCAUACGACCUGAGGGUGAAAGAUUUAUCGCCUUGGGAGGGGCCCGCGUCGGAUUAGCUAGUUGGUGGGGUAACGGCCUACCAAGGCGAUGAUCCGUAGCUGGUCUGAGAGGAUGAUCAGCCACACUGGGACUGAGACACGGCCCAGACUCCUACGGGAGGCAGCAGUGGGGAAUAUUGGACAAUGGGCGCAAGCCUGAUCCAGCAAUGCCGCGUGAGUGAUGAAGGCCUUAGGGUUGUAAAGCUCUUUCGGCGGGGACGAUGAUGACGGUACCCGCAGAAGAAGCCCCGGCUAACUUCGUGCCAGCAGCCGCGGUAAUACGAAGGGGGCAAGCGUUGUUCGGAAUUACUGGGCGUAAAGGGCGCGCAGGCGGCCUGACAAGUCAGAUGUGAAAGCCCCGGGCUCAACCUGGGAAUAGCAUUUGGGACUGUCGGGCUAGAGAUCGGGAGAGGAGAGUGGAAUUCCCAGUGUAGAGGUGAAAUUCGUAGAUAUUGGGAAGAACACCGGUGGCGAAGGCGGCUCUCUGGACCGAUACUGACGCUGAGGCGCGAAAGCGUGGGGAGCAAACAGGAUUAGAUACCCUAGUAGUCC